UGGUAGAAAUUUGUACCGAAUGGAAUUCUUGGCGACGAUAUUCAUGGGCAACCUUAGUAUUAGACCACCUGCACAAUGGUCUAAGUAAGAAGCAGGAAGACAAAGAUGUCAAUUUGUCAGGUUGUUUGCCGCUAAUCAUGUAUUGGUUAGCUGAGAAGACAAAGAUGGGAGGAGCAAUCAAGAGAAAUGAAUUAGGGUCGCCAAAUUUCAUAAGAUGGUCACUCGUCGAGCUGCACAAAGAAAUGGAGAAACUAACCAACGAGCAGAUAGAGGAAAUGUUUGACCGAAAGCUGACAGAUGAAGACUUGGAAGUGGCAAUGAAUGACAUCAGAGGAAGAAACAGAGGAG
Molecule: long non-coding RNA, 348 nt
Organism: Rosa chinensis
Lineage: Eukaryota; Viridiplantae; Streptophyta; Magnoliopsida; Rosales; Rosaceae
Exons: 3
Source: RefSeq, a predicted model, not a curated record